This 277-nucleotide unclassified non-coding RNA is filed under the name uncultured fungus. RNAcentral describes it as "sequence contains 5.8S rRNA gene". The record is from RNAcentral. Lineage: Eukaryota; Fungi.
GAACGCACAUUGCACCUCAGAGUAUUCUUUGAGGUAUACCUGUUCGAGCGUCGUUUAGACCAUAAGGCUUUGCCUUGCGUUGAUUACUUGGAUGUUUUUUUAAGCAGCAGCAAUGUUGUAUCCAAUAAUCUAAACAUGUUGGCGUCGUUAGUUUGACCAAGACACACACAAGUGAAACUAGAUAAACUAUUUUGCGAUUAGCCUUGAACUAUCUAAUUUGCGCAAGCAGAUUGUAGGUUCGACCUCGGAUCAGGUAAGACUACCCGCUGAACUUAAG